Molecule: ribosomal RNA, 509 nt
Filed under: uncultured bacterium
Lineage: Bacteria
Description: partial 16S ribosomal RNA
Rfam family: Bacterial small subunit ribosomal RNA (bases 20-333)
Source: RNAcentral
GACGAACGCUGGCGGCGUGCUUAACACAUGCAAGUCGAACGGAAAGGCCCUGCUUUUGUGGGGUGCUCGAGUGGCGAACGGGUGAGUAACACGUGAGUAACCUGCCCUUGACUUUGGGAUAACUUCAGGAAACUGGGGCUAAUACCGGAUAGGAGCUCCUGCUGCAUGGUGGGGGUUGGAAAGUUUCGGCGGUUGGGGAUGGACUCGCGGCUUAUCAGCUUGUUGGUGGGGUAGUGGCUUACCAAGGCUUUGACGGGUAGCCGGCCUGAGAGGGUGACCGGCGAGAGGGGCACGGGCGGGCGGCGCAGGCCGCGAGGGGAGGGAGGAGGUGGGAGUCGUGGACGCGGGGCGGGCCCGUGGGGCAGCGACGCCGGGGGGGGGGUGGCGGCGUUGGUGGUGGACCCCCCGUGGGGUGGUGGCGAUGCGAGGGGGAGGAUAAGGGGUAAAGGAGCCACGGCGAACGCGGGCCGAGCGGCCGCGGUAAUAGUAGGAAGAGCAGACUGCUGCAC